This 392-nucleotide ribosomal RNA is filed under the name Acanthamoeba genotype T4. RNAcentral describes it as "SSU rRNA". The stretch from base 1 to 341 matches the Rfam family "Eukaryotic small subunit ribosomal RNA", at positions 784 to 1114 of the family's 1831-position model. The record is from RNAcentral. Lineage: Eukaryota; Discosea; Longamoebia; Acanthamoebidae.
AUUUUCUGCCACCGAAUACAUUAGCAUGGGAUAAUGGAAUAGGACCCUGUCCUCCUAUUUUCAGUUGGUUUUGGCAGCGCGAGGACUAGGGUAAUGAUUAAUAGGGAUAGUUGGGGGCAUUAAUAUUUAAUUGUCAGAGGUGAAAUUCUUGGAUUUAUGAAAGAUUAACUUCUGCGAAAGCAUCUGCCAAGGAUGUUUUCAUUAAUCAAGAACGAAAGUUAGGGGAUCGAAGACGAUCAGAUACCGUCGUAGUCUUAACCAUAAACGAUGCCGACCAGCGAUUAGGAGACGUUGAAUACAAAACACCACCAUCGGCGCGGUCGCCCUUGGCGUUCGUGUUCACGCACGGGCGCGAGGGCGGCUUAGCCCGAUGGCACCGGUGAAUGACUCCC